RNAcentral lists this long non-coding RNA (606 nucleotides) under Takifugu rubripes (torafugu). Its description in RNAcentral is "lncRNA (ENSTRUG00000028248.1)". Lineage: Eukaryota; Metazoa; Chordata; Actinopteri; Tetraodontiformes; Tetraodontidae. The record is from RNAcentral.
GCUGGGAGCCGUUCAGGAGAGGGAUGCAGCCUGUGUGCGCAUGCUUGUGUGUGUCUGCAGGGAGGGUCAGAGUAGUAGUGCGGGGGGGGGGGGGGGGGACUCUCUAUUUUUCAUUCUUGGCAUAUCAGCCUUGGAGGGGCUCGGCGGUGCGAUAAAAAAGUCGUGCAUCUGGGCGCAUGUGACGCGCAGUGCGUAAUUGUUAGCCCCGUGGCUUAAAACGAAAGCAGCAUUCGGCCAUUUCUCAAAUGGCGAGACCGCAAUAACCCACCACUUCCCCUCGCGAGAAAUGUCCCCGCACUCCCACAGUCUGUUUACCAGAAGCAGCGGCAGCUGACGAGGCAGCGGUGGAUGUUUGGGUGCGCGGGGGGCGGGGCCUGCGCGCUCUCUGCUGAUUUAACUAUGCUUCAUUUACUGCUGCACGGUGGAGUCACAUGUCAAUUACUGCAUUUGCCCUUUCGGAGAAGCCUUUCACACAGAUGUUUGCCGGGGCCGCGUGAGAACGCGGGUGGAUGUGUGAUUGCUGAAGUACAACGGGGCGCUCAGCUCGGGGACAUGCAAAAGAGGCAAAACUGCCAAACUUUCGUCAAAUGCAGCUGUCAACUGUGA